Pelodiscus sinensis (Chinese soft-shelled turtle) is the source of this 259-nucleotide non-coding RNA. Lineage: Eukaryota; Metazoa; Chordata; Testudines; Trionychidae. The record is from RefSeq and is a predicted model, not a curated record.
CCCGCCAGCCCCUCGGCCAGCUCCUCCACUCCCUGCAGGAUUUCUACAGCCACACCAACUGGAUUGAACUGGGACACAGCACGAUCCACCCAGACCUGCUCCAACCCGGCCAUGUGCUGGGCUCCAUCGCCAGAGCCGACGACCCGACGUGCCGGCCCUGUGUCGGGUGGACGUGCGAGGGGAACCUCCUGGACUCGCUCUGGCCACGCGGGCUGCUCACCAGCGGGUAUUUCGGCACCGAGGCAGAGAAACCGCCCGG